GCGCAGGAAAAGAAACCAACAGGGAUUGCCCCAGUAACGGCGAGUGAAGCGGCAACAGCUCAAAUUUGAAAUCUGGCUUCGGCCCGAGUUGUAAUUUGCAGAGGAAGCUUUAGGCGCGGCACCAUCUGAGUCCCCUGGAACGGGGCGCCAAAGAGGGUGAGAGCCCCGUAUAGAUGGACGCCUAGCCUGUGUAAAGCUCCUUCGACGAGUCGAGUAGUUUGGGAAUGCUGCUCAAAAUGGGAGGUAAAUUUCUUCUAAAGCUAAAUAUUGGCCAGAGACCGACAGCGCACAAGUAGAGUGAUCGAAAGAUGAAAAGCACUUUGAAAAGAGGGUUAAAUAGCACGUGAAAUUGUUGAAAGGGAAGCGCUUGUGACCAGACUUGCGCCGGGCGGAUCAUCCGGUGUUCUCACCGGUGCACUCCGCCCGGCUCAGGCCAGCAUCGGUUCUCGUGGGGGGAUAAAGGCACCGGGAACGUAGCUCCUCCGGGAGUGUUAUAGCCCGGGGCGUAAUGCCCUCGCGGGGACCGAGGACCGCGCUUCUGCAAAGAUGCUGGGGUAAUGGUCAUCAGGGACCCCUAUUGAGACACGGACAAAGGAAGUCAACGGGUUUUGACAAGUGUGUGCCGGAUGAAAAAAUUCACAAGUAGAAGCGGUUGACGGUAGCAAGUAGACAAUUACUGGGGGCAAUCACCCGGUUGGUUCCUGUUUGUCUGGAGGUUAGGUCUUUUUAAAGGCAACCCACCGUGGUAAGGAAUUGUCAAG
This 761-nucleotide ribosomal RNA is filed under the name uncultured Zopfiella. RNAcentral's name for it is "eukaryotic LSU rRNA". The stretch from base 1 to 588 matches the Rfam family "Eukaryotic large subunit ribosomal RNA", at positions 50 to 664 of the family's 3401-position model. The record is from RNAcentral. Lineage: Eukaryota; Fungi; Ascomycota; Sordariomycetes; Sordariales; Chaetomiaceae.